AUGUAACAAACCUGCACACGUACCCCUUAAAUCUAAAACAAAACAAAAACUUGUUCUGUGCUUUUAAUCGCUAUCAUAAAUUCAUCUUCUGCAUGAAGCCCUUCGCCAGCUAUCCUAGUUAGAAUGACAUCAUUGAACAAGUAUCUUUUGGCAUUUACUUUGUACUAGGUACUAUUUUGGGAAACUGUGAUACAAAAAUGAGUAAGACUUAUCCCAGCCAGGGAGGGGCUCAGUCUACUCAUUUGCUCCCUGUUCUGAGUCUUGAUACACUGAGGUUGGUUACCCUGGAGAAACUUGCUUGCUUGUGCCCGUGGCAUGGUGAUUUUCCUUUGGAUGUGUCCACCAUGAGAUAAGGCAAGGAGCAUGUCAACCUCAUGUCUUUGUUCUUUGUGUCCAGUGUGAUGCUUUGAUACUGAAGCCUCCUGAUGGCUGUCCUUGUCAACUGUGAACCCAUCAAAGGACAUCUAAAAUUCAACAUGGGACAGUGUAACAGAUUAAUUCAACACCCUCUCCACAAUCCCCUCAAAGAUGAAUGCAUAUUUUCUUCCUGUAGCAGCCCUCCAUCCUGAUUUAUUUCCAAGCUGGAGUGUGACCGGUAGUUGGACCAGGAGUUUCACAGCAUUGGCUUCCUUGGUUCUCAGACCUUCUGACUUGCACUGAGCCACACUACUGGCUUCCCUGGUUCUCCAGCUUGCAGACACCCUACCUGGGACUUCUCAGCCUCCACAGUGCAGUGAACCAAAUCCCCUAGUAAGUCCCUUCUUCGUCUCUCUGUCUCUCUCUGUCCUAUCAGUUCUGUCCCUUGGCAGAACUGUGACUGAACAUUCUACCUCUCCCCUAUUCUUUAUUUCUCACCAAUCACCAAGUCCUGUUGACUGCCAUUUAAUACCUUUCACAACUAGCCUUUCCCUUCUAACCUCUGUGCCAGUGCUUCGGUGCUAGGUCUCAUCUUCUCUUGCUGUAAUACUGUAAAAUCCUGCUGUCUCCCUGCCUCCGUCCUUGUCCCAUUACAGACCAUGAUAGUAAUCUUUAUUUUUGUUGAUAUUUUAAAAAAUAUCUAAUCAUGUUAUUCUUUAGCUGAAAACCCUUCAUUGGCUUCCUAAGUCCUCCAGGAGAGAGUCACAAAUCCUUCACCCAGCAGCCAGAGCCUUCCACUCUCCAAUCCUGUCCAGUCGCUACCCUUUCCUCUCAGCGCUGCUUCGCUCUCACUUGACCACCCAGCAAGAGCACAGGAUUUCCUGUGUCCUCCAGCCAUGUAAUUACUUCUCCACUUUCAUUGCCUGGUGAGGGCUGGUUAUGCUUUAAAAAUAUGUGCUACC
RNAcentral lists this long non-coding RNA (1319 nucleotides) under Homo sapiens (human). RNAcentral describes it as "HSALNT0347544". Lineage: Eukaryota; Metazoa; Chordata; Mammalia; Primates; Hominidae. The record is from RNAcentral.